RNAcentral lists this ribosomal RNA (500 nucleotides) under uncultured bacterium. RNAcentral's name for it is "partial 16S ribosomal RNA". It matches the Rfam family "Bacterial small subunit ribosomal RNA", at positions 30 to 523 of the family's 1533-position model. The record is from RNAcentral.
AUUGAACGCUGGCGGAAUGCUUUACACAUGCAAGUCGAACGGCAGCACGGACUUCGGUCUGGUGGCGAGUGGCGAACGGGUGAGUAAUGUAUCGGAACGUGCCCAGUUGUGGGGGAUAACGUAGUGAAAAUUACGCUAAUACCGCAUACGAUCUAUGGAUGAAAGCGGGGGAUCGCAAGACCUCGCGCGAUUGGAGCGGCCGAUAUCAGAUUAGGUAGUUGGUGGGGUAAAGGCCCACCAAGCCAACGAUCUGUAGCUGGUCUGAGAGGACGACCAGCCACACUGGAACUGAGACACGGGCCAGACUCCUACGGGAGGCAGCAGUGGGGAAUUUUGGACAAUGGGCGAAAGCCUGAUCCAGCCAUUCCGCGUGCAGGAUGAAGGCCCUCGGGUUGUAAACUGCUUUUGUACAGAACGAAAAGGUUUCUACUAAUACUAGGAGCUCAUGACGGUACUGUAAGAAUAAGCACCGGCUAACUACGUGCCAGCCGCCGCGGUAA